RNAcentral lists this long non-coding RNA (8993 nucleotides) under Megachile rotundata (alfalfa leafcutting bee). RNAcentral's name for it is "uncharacterized LOC105663264, transcript variant X5". Lineage: Eukaryota; Metazoa; Arthropoda; Insecta; Hymenoptera; Megachilidae. The record is from RNAcentral.
ACAAUUUCACACCAAUUUAACAAACUAUACACAAGUAUAAGUGAUGGAAUAAAUUACAGACUCUUUUACAAUUAUGACAACUGGAAAGUUAAACACAAUAGUAAAUAGAGGCUCCAUAAAAGUAUACACAAGAAUAAUUGAUGGAACAAAUUGCAAACUCCUGUACAAUUAUGACUUAUAAUUGUAGCUAUAACUAGAAAGUCAAGCACAAUAGAGGCUACACAAGAAGUAUACACAAGUAUAAUUGAAGGAACAAAUUGCAAACUCCUGUACAAUUAAGAUUUAUAACUGUAACUAUAACUGGAAGGCAAACACAAUAGAGGCUACAUAAGAAGUAUACACAAGUAUAAUUGAAGGAACAAAUUGCAAACUCCUGUACAAUUAAGAUUUAUAAUUGUAACUAUAACUGGAAAGUCAAACACAAUAGAGGCUACACAAGAAGUAUACACAAGUAUAACUGAAGGAACAAAUUGCAAACUCCUGUACAAUUAAGAUUUAUAAUUGUAACUAUAACUGGAAAGUCAAACACAAUAGAGGCUACACAAGAAGUAUACACAAGUAUAACUGAAGGAACAAAUUGCAAACUCCUGUACAAUUAUGCCUCAUAAUUGUAGCUAUAACUAGAAAGUCAAGCACAAUAGAGGCUGCACAAGAAGUAUACACAAGUAUAACUGAAGGAACAAAUUGCAAACUCCUGUACAAUUAUGCCUCAUAAUUGUAGCUAUAACUAGAAAGUCAAGCACAAUAGAGGCUGCACAAGAAGUAUACACAAGUAUAACUGAAGGAACAAAUUGCAAACUCCUGUACAAUUAUGCUUCAUAAUUAUAGCUAUAACUAGAAAGUCAAGCACAAUGGUUCCACAAAUUAAAGAUAGGCUUCCUAGGUUCAUAGAACAGAUCUACAUAAAUGACACACAUUUUCCAAUUCAGUGAUUUUACUAAUUUCAAACUGAUACACUUAAAGAUAUUUUGUACAAUGUCGUAUUUGUUCCGUCAAUUGUAUACUGUUUGUACUGAGCUGUGAUGAAAGAUGGAAGACCUGUAGCAUAUCGGCCGGCAGCGAAAUAACUUCAAAGGAAUCGCUCAUCAACACGACAAAACUGUCGCAGCACUCCCAGGAUGUGGGGCUGCAGGACUCUAAGUCGGAAUCGCUGUAAGAGUCCGCCUUCUCGCCGGCGACAAAGUCCGGCUCCAGGUCCGAACGGGACGAGCAACUUGCCGACUCAAUGGUGAACCUAGAUCACUGUAAUCCCCCUCAACGAGAUUCACGGUCCGUGUAUCAUCGAACGAACUCUUAGGAGUAUAUUCACAUGUUUUCACUUAGGUCACUGUUCACGUUUUAAAUUGUAUGAAAUAUUUCUCGCACCGGUAUUAGGAAGACUUGUUUAUUAAAAACCGACCUUGAGUCGUGUAAUCGCACGAUCACGAAGAAACUAAACGUGGUACCGAGAAGGCUGUGCCACUAGGUGCAACCCCGACUGUGUUCGAUGGACAACUGGAGGCGGGGUGUGUGCUACCCCCAUUGGGCUGGAGAACCAGCCCUCUGGCUGCAACAUCCCCUACCCCUCUUCGCUUGCCAGGAUAGCCAUCGUGUCUCAAGGACAACACCCCUUCGACGGGUGGCUCAAUAAGCUAUGACAUGUAAUUGUACGAAAUUCGACUUGGACGUCAUACGAGUGAACCUUGAUACUCUCAGAAAUCCCUUUCAUGGACCAAGACCAGGGUGGAGCAAUUUCUAACGUGAUGACCUACUAAUCUGAUGUAUAUGAACCUCAAAUGUACUACAUAUCAGUAUGCUGAUCAAAGGGGAAUGAUAGGCAGAUCUUUGAGAUCCUGGACCAAGACAACAUGAUGAUCUAAUCUGACGUAUACCUAAUCUAUGUAUACUACAUAUCAGUGUACUGAUCAAAGAAGAAUGAUAGGCAGAUCGGAAGCAUGGUGUGAUAGACACCCGGUAACGAGGGUUCUGAUAGGAAACGAUCCUGAAAGCAUUCCUUGGAAUUAAGGACGUACACGCCCAUGUCGAAUACAAAAGGUUCACGGAAAGUGGCAUCUGACCAAUUACCUUGAUUGGCUAAAUAGGGUCAAUAUUCAAAGUAUGCUGGAAGAGGGGAAAAAAACGUUAACGAGGCUAAUAGUCUAAUAAACCGACUGAUGAAUUCGAGACACGCACGCUGCUGUCGGCAGUGUGCCAGAGAUUCGAUAAGCUUGUCAUGGUUGCUUAUAAAAAUCCUUUCAAAUUUCUCACUGAUGUGUCCGCUAUUAACAUAAUACUGUUGCCAAUACAUUGCAUUCAGUUUUGAGGUGUAGAAGAUGGUACAUGUAACAAAUUCUUCAUUGAAAAACAGCAGGAUCGACCGAUAACCGAAUGUACGUUCAUCGUGCAGUUGCAAUGCCAGCUUUGAUGGGAUUGGUAUGAUAAUGGAAGCAUAGAUUAACACACGGUGAAGGUCAAACGACCCUCAUUCUCGCACACCCGAGCAACCCUUCCGGCAACCAACCCCUUGUGACAUUUAAUAACCAGUGACACACUCAUGAUAAACUAACGACAAUAAACUAGCAACAAACUUAUACUAGAGAUAAUUAUGGCAACUAAGCUGCAAUUUUUUAUGGAAGAAGAAUCUUCUUUACAGAAGAAGGUGCUUUAUUAAGCAGCCAAGGAAGCAUUCAAUGCGGAAAUUGAAACGAAUAUACGUCAGGAUGUCUUUAUAAUAAGUUUCACCGAAGGCAGCAUCGUUAUCACAGAUUUAUAGCCUUGUAAUAUUCUGGCCCUAAUUACCGUCUGUGAGAAAAAAGAUAGUCAUUGGUAUAAUGAAUAUCCCACAUAAAUCAUGGCGUCACCAGCGAAAUCGCUCACGUGCUAGCCUUUUAACGAGCCUCGUGAAUUCCGUUCAAGGUCGCCUGGCUUCUUUAUUGCAACUAUCUGGAAGGCCUUUCGCCUCGUUACUUUACACGUGAAAUUGGUGCGAUUGUGUCACAGUAACAACAAAGUGACCUAGAGUUUAAUAAUUCUCUUACAAAAUGGACCUGAAGAGGAAAAUCAGAAUUUUUUGGACGUUACAGAUAUUCUACAGAUUCUGAGUUACAUUUUUUAAUUGUCAAUUUCUGUGAAGCUUGUAAUCAGAGUGUUCCCAUCAAACUGAUCAAACGUCUCAAGACCACCUGCUCACGAAGGUGUGUCUAAUAAUAAAUAACCCUCUAAAAAUAAUCCUUACCUCGACGUCAACGGAAUAAUAUCGAGAGAUUAGAUCGACGAUUCUCGCGGUAAUUACUAGGGUUUGUUGGACAAAAUUAAGGUUCAUAACUGCUCUAGCGAGCAUUGCGUGUUCCUGUUCACUAAACCGAGCAGCAUAAUUCGCAUUAACGAGGAAAAAAGAGGAUGAAGAGGAACUCCAUUCAGAGUACGUUUGCAUUGCAAUUUAUCAAACUGUCCCUGUAAAUUACGAUGCAAUUGCUCGCACGUGUAACUGAAUGCAUAUCUUGGUUGCUAGGCCAAGGUCACGGUGCAACAAUCUUCCACUUGGAGGUGCUAGUUCUCAAGAUGAUGAAAUUACUAGAAUGUGAAUGUCAUAAGAAAAAUACCAAGAGGCUGUCAAGAACACUUCAACCUUCAAAUAUUCUCAUGUUAUAUUCCUGAAGAAUUUACAUUUGUAACAUUCUGAAGUGUAAUUGACAAACAAUGCUUGAUAGUAGCCUUUGAAAAUUUUCCACUACAUCAGAAUACAUAAUAAUGUAUGAGUUGAAAUAAUCAUUUAAGGAUUGGAGAGUUUACGCCACCCUAUAAAUUGGAAUAGCGAUACAAAGGGGUGAAUAUCCUUCUUGACCAUUUACCUUGAUGAUAAGAGAACGUAGACGGUCGAAAGGUCGCUUCCCUCUAACUCUUCACCUUUGGAAACAGGUCAUCGACUAAGUAUUUGAUCGUAAUUCGAAACAAGUUCAUCAGCCUUGAAAGAUGUCAUGAAACAAUGACACCCGAAUUUAAAGCAAAAACUGUAUAUUCACAAUUUCCAUAUGCCAUUUGAUGCAUGCAAUUGGUACGAUAAUUGGCCAGUGAUAAGGCCCUAUGAUAAGCUGUUUACGUCGCGAACGUUAAUUCGGCCUGGUCGAUUAACACGAAACAUUUUUUCUUUCCUUCUUUUAUCAACGAUCUCACGUGGCACAUAAGCUUGAUUUUUUGCGACGAUCGCUGGGCUUAUUAUUAGUUUCGUGCUCGGAAGAGGACUCAGAAUACAAUGAUUUGAAAACCAUUAAGAAAUGCAUAAUUCAAACUUAAUUUAACUCAGCCAUUUUGUGACAUGAUUAGGAAAUGAAGAGUGCUCAGAAUGUCAAUACAAUAAUUUACAGACCAUUAGGAAAUGCAUACUUCAAACCUAAUUUACCUGAGCCAUUUUGUAACAUUGGGAAAUGUACAUACACAUACUAAAAAUGUACACAUGUACAACCUUCUACAGGAGGUGCGUGACGAGGGAGAGUGCCACGCAAGGUGUAACACAGGGUAGUUGUCCUGCGAGGGUUCUGCGACAAGCGUGCCACGGGUUAAAAGGCAACGAGUAACACAGAGACGGGGAUGCCGCAGUGAUUUACAUAUCGUCGAUCGGUACACGUCAUCCAACUACGUGGUAUACGCACCAGAAACGAUCGUGGCACGACCGUUUUCUCGAAACGACGGCUAAUCGACCUACCGAAAUUCAUUUCGUUUCGAAUACGUCUCAUGCAUAUUCAGCCCGACAACCGGGGCGAUAAAUGAACAGACCUACGGAUCGCAAUGCGAACACGAAUCUGCGAAUCGCGAUAAAACGGGGAAAGAAAGCGAGGAUAUUAAAUCCAGAUGCCGUAGAUAUACCAGUGCUGAAAUGAUGUAUACUCGUAAUUCAGAGAGCACGAAACAUGUUUCACAGAUCCAAUCACAAUAAUACUAAUGCAUAAUACGUACAAUCGCAAAUGCGUGCUAAACCGUAACGGUGGAAUUGAAAAGAAUUGAAACUCUUCCAUUGGAAUAUUGUGGUAACAACCAGUAAUUGUUAAGCAAUUUAAUAUCAGUAGGAUCAACGUACUGUCAAUUAAACUCGAUUACCGACAGACACGCACUCUUUCGAGCAACAACGUUAGCCAGAAAAAGAUAUCGAAAAAAUUUACGAGCAGACUUGUUUAUCGGUGCAAAUAUUUUUCGUCCACCACCUUACGUGCAAUUAAUCUGCAACCGGGCAUGCAACAUGGUCACCGGUCAAAAAACUGAUAAGAACGGGACAAAAUUUUAAGGUGAACCUUGUCAGAUUAAAACUAAGUAACCUGUAAUAUCCUUGGAACACGUACAAUCGGUAAUGAAGGAUCAUUUAAAGAUAAAGACUAUAGAUGACAGAAAAUAUAACCUCUUCGCAUAGACAUGAAGUAUUGAGAUGAGUGUAAAGCAAAAUAUACCUAUGGGACUUUGGAAUUUCGUGACGCAUCUAGGGCAGAUACAAAACUCUGUCUCCUUCGUGACUCCGGUGGCUGACACGAAUUUCAAGUUGACCAGCGAUUAGUUCUUUCUAGACCGCGUUAUCCUCUUAUGAAUUUACGUGGCGACCGGGUGAAAUGUUCUGAAAGAAAGGAGGACUCGUUAUCGCCGGCUUACACCGCGAUAUGAAAAUGAAGAACGAGCAUGUAACGUGCGUGACGGAUCGUCCUGUGAAAUGUGUCGCGCCGAUUACAAAAGAAACAAUCGUGGCUAUUCACGCGGCAGACCUCAAUGGCUAAUUUGUUCACGUCGUGAAACGAUAAAGAAAUGUCACAAAAUAUUGGGAAUAUUAUUUUGCUGAAAAGGUGAUCGGGUAAAGAAACCUGAUGCGUCAUUUCGGCAAUUUAUGACCCGUUUGCUGCAAUCAGAACAAUCCUACAGCGGGAAUAAUUAAUGACAUGUUGAAUUCUAAAUUUAAAUUUGAUGAUACACUGUUCAUUGAGAAGGUCAUGUUUCAAGCUGAGCAGAAAAAGCUGACAUGAAGCGAGCGAUCAAAUUCGCGGAGACAUCAAUGCCCGACUUGUCAUCGACCUGUGUCACUGUUGCGCGUAGUACACGCGUUUCUUUUGACGUGAUCUAAAUCAGGGAUCCGUCGACGAUGAUGAACGUCUUGAAUUUCGUCGUGGAGUUUCUACAGAAGGAAUAGAAACGGUUUGUGAAUCGUCCGUAUGGAGAAGUUCGUGUUUAUUGAUCCCUUGCGGGCUGACCAACGGUCAAUGAGAUACGGUCUCUCCCUUGGUAGCCGCCCUACGCCUCGGAGGCCCUGCAUCGGUCUCCUUAGCGGAACCGACCCACCGCCCACCCUACAACACGUGAUUCAUAUCUUCGAGUCGUGGAAAAUUAGCGACAAAAAUGAUUUCGGAGAAUCUGGAUUGGGUUAUUUCGUACUGACUCAACUUUGAAUUUAUAAUUACUCUUGAUUUCAAGUGAAAUGUUAUAGCUUCACAUGCUAGAUUGUUAGAAUUGUAUGAGAAAAUAUUCUAGUUAAAAUACUCAAGGCAACAUGUCCUUAUAAAGAGGCUACAAGUAUAAAGUACAACCAUAAUAUUUCAGCAGCAAGUAGUCAUUAAAUGGUGUUAAAUUGUUGCAUAUAAAAUGACUCAUAUAAUAACAUAAAAUGUGAAGGUACGCUUUUGAUGUCACAUGAAAUUCUGUUAUAGCUUGACAUGCUAAGAUUGUCAGAACUGUAAUAUAUGAGAAAAUAUUCUAGUUAAAAUACUCAAGGCAACAUGUCCUUAUAAAGAGGCUACAAGUAUAAAGUACAACCAUAGUAUUUCAGCAGCAAGUAGUCAUUAAAUUGUACUAGAUUGUUGCAUAUGAGAUGACUCAUAUAAUAAUAUAAAAUGUAAAGGUACACUUUUGAUUUCAUGUAAAAAGCUGUUAUAGCUUGACAUGCUAAGAUUGUCAGAACUGUAAUAUAUGAGAAAAUAAUCUAGUUAAAAUAUUCAAGGCAACAUGUCCUUAUAAGGAGGCUACAAGUAUAAAGUACAACCAUAGUAUUUCAGCAGCAAGUAGUCAUUAAAUGGUGUUAGAUUGUUGCAUAUGAAAUGACUCAUAAUAAUAUAAAGUGCAACACGACAAAGACAAGUUUCCUCCGAGGGACAAAGAAAUGUAGGUAGGCCGUAAAUAGGUGAAGAAACAGCACAAUCAGAGGCCACUUAAUGACACAGUGUUUAUCGCGAUGGUAGAAAUGGAUUGAUCGUUACUAUGAAGGAGGUGAAAGUAUGUGGACGGCUGGAACGUAUGCAGGAUAAUAAGACGGUUGUUAAGUAAAAUAGGAUAGUGUACCAUUUCCCAGCAGGACUGGAUCAGGUAGGAGAAGAAGAAUCGAAAACAGGGAGAAAGGAAGCGAUCGCUGCGCAACCGCAGACUCAGUUGUCCAGCCCUUUUCACCCCUCUUACAGACCAACCCUAUGGCAAUACUUGCUCCCACUUUUCGCAUCCCUACCACCAAACCGCAGAUUCACCUAUAUGAGUCGAUCUUCCGUGCCACGUGGCUUUGGUAAACAAUGCUGGAAUCACCUGAUACUGGCAACUGCAGGGAAGAAGUUUUCAUGAAGUUAUCAAUACAGGAAGAACUUCGCUACUCUAAUUCUUAAGGAUUCUGAAUACAUAUCUACCCUUGAGGGACACAAACUAUACUCAGCAUACAGGAUAUGAAGGAAUCACGAUUUCAUAAUCCAGCGUAAUCGACACGUAAAGUCUAUAUAGAACAAUAGGUGUAUAAGCUUUGGCCACUUUACCGGAUUAACGGUUGACCCGGCACGAGAGCCGAUCGAAAUAACGUAUCGUACGUACAUAAAGCCAGGCAGAAACGACGACGAUAUACGUUUAACGAGCGGCUUGGUCACACCUUAAAACCUAGAAAUCAGGUUGGGCGUGGGCCACCGUGCUAUGACGCAACGCAGGUGAAACCAAUCCUUCCUAUCAGCACUUUCAUAAAAAUAAUGAAUAUCCUGUGGCCUUACGGUUGAAUCGGCCUGAAAGGUUUCGCCGGUUAAUUGGCCCAUUUUUCACUGAAUCCUCCAUUGGCCUUACUUUUGAUUCACGAUACCAAAACCUGUCGUAGGCGAUUUAUCGCCUUCUUUCUUUAGAUCUUGUCACCUGAGUUCGACAAUCACGCUAUGCCAUGAUGCAUUGCUUCUAAAAAUGUCGACAUGAAGAAAAAUAUUGGUUAGAGAUUUUCUGAACGUUCAGUACUUUCUGAUGGAUUCAACAAGUCUCUCUAUUCAAUCUUUACAAUAUUGUAUUCAAUCUUUAUAAUUAAUAGUAGCAUCUUUGGAAGGUUGGGUAAUCUACUUCUUGAGGAUUUGAAUACUCUUUUUGGAAAUACCAUUGACUAGCUAGAUCUUAUGGUGUAAGUCCUAGCUAGCUCAUCUAAUUCUUGAAGACCCUCCUGACAGUAAUCAGGCAGAUUGGCGUUGCGUGCGGCCUGCUUAAAUGUUGAUCUGGGCCAGAUACACAAACGUCGUCGACGGCAAAUAUACGCAGUUUUCUUAUAAAUUGCCAUAUCGCAAGGCUGUUAAACUGUGUACGUGUAGUUAGUACGCGUGGCAAUGUUCGGGCACGCAUUUGUGGGAGUCCGUUGUUUUACGUCCACCGGUGGCUCAUGAAUAUUAAGAGUGUAUACAGCCGACUUCUCGGUUUAAUUAUACGAACGAUUAGAGGCAACAGCUACCAAGAGAAUAUUUACUUUUCGCCAUACAAGUCCUUGCACGUGCUGAAUUAUCGCACUCGUAAUGAGAUUGGUUCUCUCGCUCCCGGUGGAGGGGUUGCGUUACCCGAACCGAGAUUCGAUCUACACACACACGCGAUCUUGUGUCUCAAGAGCCUUAUUUCUUCUUCGUGCAAUGUAUCAGAUCGAACGACCCACUUUUCCACAGCGAUUAAGACCCUUUUUUUAUUCCAAGCGAUCUUAAAGGGGCGUAUACUUUACAAUGCGAUCGAAAUGUUGUAUUUCUCGUGGCUUCCGUCACUGACAGGUAACGAGUCUUUGU